UACGUAGGGGGCUAGCGUUGUCCGGAAUCAUUGGGCGUAAAGCGCGUGUAGGCGGUCCGGUAAGUCCGCUGUGAAAGUCGGGGGCUCAACCCUCGGAUGCCGGUGGAUACUGUCGGGCUUGAGUACGGAAGAGGCGAGUGGAAUUCCUGGUGUAGCGGUGAAAUGCGCAGAUAUCGGGAGGAACACCGGUGGCGAAGGCGGUUCUCUGGGCCUUACCUGGACGCUGAGGAGCGAAAGCGUGGGGAGC
Molecule: ribosomal RNA, 247 nt
Filed under: uncultured bacterium
Lineage: Bacteria
Description: partial 16S ribosomal RNA
Rfam family: Bacterial small subunit ribosomal RNA
Source: RNAcentral